AUACGAAGGGGGCUAGCGUUGUUCGGAAUUACUGGGCGUAAAGCGCGCGUAGGCGGAUUGGUCAGUUAGGGGUGAAAUCCCAGGGCUUAACCCUGGAACUGCCUCUAAUACUGCCAGUCUUGAGUUCGGGAGAGGUGAGUGGAAUUCCUGGUGUAGAGGUGAAAUUCGUAGAUAUUAGGAAGAACACCAGUGGCGAAGGCGGCUCACUGGCCCGAUACUGACGCUGAGGCGCGAAAGCGUGGGGAGCAAACAGGAUUAGAUACCCUAGUAGUCC
This 274-nucleotide ribosomal RNA is filed under the name uncultured bacterium. Its description in RNAcentral is "partial 16S ribosomal RNA". It matches the Rfam family "Bacterial small subunit ribosomal RNA", at positions 523 to 796 of the family's 1533-position model. The record is from RNAcentral.